CACGUAGGGCGCAAGCGUUGUCCGGAAUUAUUGGGCGUAAAGAGCUCGUAGGUGGUUUGUUACGUCUGCUGUGAAAUCCCGGGGCUUAACCCCGGGCGUGCAGUGGAUACGGGCAGGCUGGAGGCAGGCAGGGGAGAAUGGAAUUCCCGGUGUAGCGGUGAAAUGCGCAGAUAUCGGGAGGAACACCGGUGGCGAAGGCGGUUCUCUGGGCCUGUUCUGACGCUGAGGAGCGAAAGCGUGGGGAGCGAACAGG
This 253-nucleotide ribosomal RNA is filed under the name uncultured bacterium. Its description in RNAcentral is "partial 16S ribosomal RNA". It matches the Rfam family "Bacterial small subunit ribosomal RNA", at positions 524 to 776 of the family's 1533-position model. The record is from RNAcentral.